This 422-nucleotide long non-coding RNA is filed under the name Elaeis guineensis (African oil palm). Its description in RNAcentral is "long non-coding RNA (EGUI_LNC060757)". Lineage: Eukaryota; Viridiplantae; Streptophyta; Magnoliopsida; Arecales; Arecaceae. The record is from RNAcentral.
UGCCCCCACCUUUUCUCCAUGCAAAAAAUGUUCUCAUAUGAAUUUUUUUUCUCAUGCCCAAAAGUAAAUAUCACCCACAUUCUGAUCCCCUUUGGAUUAGGAUUUGGUUGGUUUAAAUUUUAAGUUCAAAUGGUUUGAAUUUAGAUUUAAACCUGGAGUCCAAAUCGAGUUAGACUCUUUCCUAAACGCCGACUACUCUUCUCAUGCAUGAAUUGGUUUUUGUAUGAAUUAUUUUCAUUCCAUUCAGAUGUUUGUCACCCACUUUUUAAGUCCCAUGGAUAAGGAUGAAGUUUGGUUCAAGUUUGAAUUUAAAUUUAAUUUGAAUCGGUGAUGAGGAUAAACUAUCAUUUGAACUUGAAGCAAACCACCUCAUCUUAUCCUUAUCUUUCAUGGGAGGCCACCUUAAGAAGGAAUGAUUUUUU